Homo sapiens (human) is the source of this 4064-nucleotide long non-coding RNA. NCBI's taxonomy places the organism in Eukaryota, Metazoa, Chordata, Mammalia, Primates, Hominidae. The record is from Ensembl.
AUUUAAAGCCACUAAUUUUAUUUAAAGAAGAAAUACAAUUUUAAACAAAAUCCCCCAGUGAAUAACCUUUCUCCUAUUUUACCCUUUUUCUUAAAAGAUAGUUUUUCUUUGUUCACAACUUCAGUUUAACAGUCAUUUUCUCUGAGAACCAGAUGUUAGUUACCUUCUUGCUUCCAUUGUUGCUGCUGAACGUCUGCUUUCCAUUCAAUUUGAGAUUAAUCUGGCUUUUCUCUUCAAGUCCUUUUAAGACUUUUCUUUUGACUUUGGUAUUCUGCGGGUUCACUAGAGUUGUCUAAAUUUUUUAACCUCUGAAUUUUAUAUACUUUGCUUUUCAUAUUUGUGAACUCGUGUUUUUCAUAAGUUGUAGAAAAGUCUAAGACAUUUUCUUGUCUACACCAUUAUUUCUAGUGUGUUUUCCUGCGACUUCGACUGGGAGUAUACCAGCCUUUCUUAUUCUAUUCUGCAUACGUAUUAACUUCUCACAUGCAUCCUUGUCUCCCUAUACCAUAUGUGGGUACUAUGUUAGUCCAUUUUGCGUUGCUAUAAAAUAAUACCUGCAGCUGGGUAAUUCAUAAAGAAAAGAGGUUUAAUUGACUCACAGUUCUGUAGACUAUACAGGAAGCAUGGCACCAGCAUCUGUUUCUGGUAAGGGCUCAUGAAGCUCACAAUCAUGACCGAAGGUGAAGUGGGAGCAGACCUCUCACAUGACGAGAGAGGGAGCCAGAGAGAGGAAGGAGGUGCUAGGCUCUUUUAAACAACCAGAUCUCACGUGAACUCAGGGUGAAAACUCAUUCAUUAUUGGGAAGAUGGUACUAAGCCACUGAUGAGGGAUCUACCCCCAUGACGCCAACACCUUCCACUAGCCACAAUUCCAACAUUGGGAAACACAUUUCAACGUGAGAUUUUCAGGGGACUAACAUCCAAGCCAUUAUUCCCUCCCUGGCCCCUCAGAUCUCACAUCCUUCUCACAUUACAAAAUACAAUCAUUCCUUCCCAAUGGUCCCCAAAAGUCUCAACUCAUUUCAGCAUCAACUCAAAAAGUCCAAAGUCUCAUCUCAGACUCAAGGAAUGUUCCUGCCAACUGUGAGCCUGUAAAAUUAAAAUCAAGUUACUUACUUCCAAAAUACAAUGAUGGUAUAGACAUUGGGUAAAUAUUCCUACUCCAAAAGAGAGAAAUUGAUCAAAAGAAAGGAGAAACAAGCCCCACACAAGUCUGAAACCCAGUGAGGCAUUAAUCAAAUCUUAACACUCUAAAAUGGUCUCCUUUGAAUACAUUUCCCACAUCCAGGACACACUGGUACAAGAGGUGAACUCCCAAGGCCUUGGGCUGCUCCAAUCCUAUGGCUUUGCAGGAUACAGCCCCGCAGCUGCUCUCACAUGUUGGAAUUGAGUGCCUGUGGCUUUUCCAGGCUCAGAGUGCAUGCUGUCAACGAGUCUACCAUUGGGGGCUGGAGUGGCCCCAUUCCCAUAGCUCCAAUAAUCAGUGCCCCAAUGGGAACUCUGUGUGGAGGCUCCAACCCCACAUUUCCCCUUGGCACUGCCCUAACAAGGGCUCUCUACAGGGGCACCACCCCUGCAGCGGGCUUCUGCCUAAGCAAGCAAGUUUUCCGAUACAGCCUCUGAAAUCUAGGGGGAAGCUGCCAAGCCUCCUUCAUGCUUUCAUUCUGUGCACCUUUAGGCUUAACACCACAUGGAAACCACCAAGGCUUACAGCUUGCACCUUUUGAAGCAGUGGCCCAAGCUGUAUCUGAGGCCCUUUGAGCCAAGGCUGGAGCUGUAGCAGUUUGGAUGCAGGGAGCAGCAUCCCAAGGCUGCACAGGACAGUGGUGUUCCAGGCCUGGCCCCUGAAACCAUUCUUUGCUUUUAGGCCUCUGGGCCUGUGAUGGGAAGGGCUGUCCCAAAGACUUCUGAAAUAUCUUGGAGGCUUUUUUCCCAUUGUCUUGGAUAUUACCACCUGGCUCCCUUUUUGUUAGGCAAAUCUCUCUAGCAUUCCUUGCUCCAAAGGGUGCUUGCAUUUCUCUCCUGAAAAAGUGUUUCCUUUCUCUGCCACACGACUAGUCUGCAAUUUUUCCAAAUUUUUAUGCCCUGCUUUUCUUUUAAAUGUAAGUUCCAACUUUAAGUCAUUCCUUUGCUCCUAUUUGAUCCUAAGUUGUGAGGAGCAGCCAGCUUUGCUGCUUAGAAAUUUCUUCCACCAGAUACCAUAAGUCAUCACAGAUAAGUUCAACCUUCUACAGAUCCCUACGAUGCAGACAUAACGUAGCCAAGCCCUUUGCUAGGGUGUAACACAAGUGACUUUUACUCCAGUUCCCAAUAAAGUCCUCAUUUCCAUCUGAGACCUUGUCAGCCUGGCCAUCACUGCCCAUACAUGUAAUAACAUUUUGGUCACAAUUAUUUAACUAGUCACUAAGAAGUUCCAAACAUUCCCUUAUCUUCUUGUCUUCUUCUGAUCCUCCAAAAUCUUCAAUCUCUUCCCAUUGCUUCUGCAUUUUCAAGUAUCUAUAUAGCAAUGCUACACUCCUCAGCACCAAUUUUGUGUUUUAGUUCAUUUUCCAUUACUAGAAAAGAAUAUCUGAGAUGGGAUAAUUUAUAAAGAAAAAAGAUUUAAUUGGCUCACAGUUCUUCAGGCUGUACAGGAAGCAUGGUGCCAGCAUCUGCUUCUGGUGAGUGCCUCAGUAAGCUUACAGUGAUGGCAGAAGAUGAAAAGGGAUCAGGCAUAUAACAUGGCAAGAGAGGAAGCAAGAGAGGGAGGAGGUGCCAGUCUCUUUUAAACAACUUGAUCUCACAUAAACUCACAAAGUGAGAACUCAUUCAUUACUGUGAAGAUGGCACUAAGCCAUUCAUGAGGCCCCAUGACCCAAACACCUCCCACUAGGUACCAUCUCCAGCACUGAGGAUCACAUUUCAACAUGAGAUUUGGAGGAAACAAAUAUCCAAACCAUAUCAAGUAGUUUAUUUGAAUCUAUCUUUUAGUUCCCUCAUGCUCCCUUCAACAGUGUGUAAUGCCUUGUAUAACCCAUCUAGAGUCUAAUUUUCAGCAGUUACAUUUCAUAUUUCUAAAAAGUCAAUUUGAUUGGUCAUUCUUGAUAGCCUUUUGUUCUUUGCUCAAUUUUUAUUCAACUUCCUACUUAUUUAAAUGUAUACUAUACUAUGCUUAUAUUUGUGUUCUAUGUCUGAUCAUUCUAGUAACUAACCUCUUCAGUUGGGAUCUUAAACCAUCAUUGAUUUUGCUGAUUCUCACUCAUGGUUCCUUAUUUCAUUUUGUGUUUGAUGAUUUCCUUUUUUAUUGUGAGCUCAAAUUUUGUUGAACUGGACCUGUAGGACUAUCACUGUUACACAUUUGGAAUUUUUUAUUCUGGAGGAGAGUUGUAGGAUUAUCGUAGGACCACUUUAGCACUUUUAAGUUUCCAGCUUAAUGAAGGAGUGAGAGAUUCAUCCCCUUCAAUGUGUAGCAGCCACAGUUUAGCCUUUUGGUAUCAGCACUGGCAUUGACAUUUACUUUUAGGACUUCACUGAUCCUAGUGGUGAGAGACAGGACUAGCUGGAUUUCCUAGGCCAACUAAAAAUCCCUAAGCCUAGCUGGGAAGGUGACCGCGUCCAUCUUUAAACACGGGGCUUGCAACUUAGCUCACACCUGACCAGUCAGAGAGCUCACUAAAAUGCUAAUUAGGCAAAAACAGGGGGUAAAGAAAUAGCCAAUCAUCUUUCGCCUGAGAGCACAGCAGACGGACAAUGAUCGGGAUAUAAACCCAGGGAUUUGAGCCGGCAAUAGCUACCUCUUUGGGUCCUCUCUUUUUGUAUGGGAGCUCUGUCUUCACUCUAUUAAAUCUUGCAACUGCACUCUCUUUUGUUCCGUGUUCCUUACGGCUCGAGGUGAGCUUUCACUUGCUGUCCACCACUCCUGUUUGCGCUUUCGCAGACCCACCGCUGACUUCCAUCCCUCCAGAUCUGGCAGGGUGUCCGCUGUGCUCCUGAUCCAUCGAGGCGCCCAUUGCCACUCCCGAUCGGGCUAAAGGCUUGCCAUUGUUCCUGCAUGGCUAAGUGCCUGGGUUCGUCCUAAUAGAGCU